AUGGAGGAGGUGGAGCAUCGUCCAUGGUGUGCUCCCAUCCCUGGGCCCUUCUCGGCGAACGCCCAACGACUGCUGCUGCCCCUGCAUCCGCAUCCACAUCCGCAGCCGCUGGCGCUGGCGCAGGAGGACUACGACGCGAUCGACCGGUGGACGCGGGAGCCCAUGUCGCCGUCGGGCGUCCCCGAAGAGCUAUGGGGGCUGUGCUUCUUCGCCGCCCCACUCGACGACCACCAGUUGAUGAUGCAGGAGCCCGGCGGUGAGUCGUCGUCAGAGGUCCCCGAGGAGUCCCGGUGGCUGUUCAACGAAGACGACGCCGCUGUUCCUGCAGGCGUCGCUUCUCCGCCGCCGCCAUCGUCUGCAGCAGAUGCCCAGCUCCUGCAACCGCUGUCGCCACAGGAGGAGGUGGAUUAUGGUGUCGCCGAGUUGGACCAGUGGAUGCACGAUGGCGGCGAGCCCAGCAGAGCCGGAGGAGGAUUACGACGCCUUGGAAGAGCGGUAGAUGCAGGAGGGUGA
This 513-nucleotide ribosomal RNA is filed under the name Triticum aestivum (bread wheat). RNAcentral describes it as "partial small subunit ribosomal RNA". Lineage: Eukaryota; Viridiplantae; Streptophyta; Magnoliopsida; Poales; Poaceae. The record is from RNAcentral.